GAUGAAGAACGUAGCGAAAUGCGAUAAGUAAUGUGAAUUGCAGAAUUCAGUGAAUCAUCGAAUCUUUGAACGCACAUUGCGCCCUCUGGUAUUCCGGGGGGCAUGCCUGUUCGAGCGUCAUUAUAACCACUCAAGCUCUCGCUUGGUAUUGGAGUUCGCGAUCUCGCGGCUCCUAAAAUCAGUGGCGGUGCCUGUCGGCUCUACGCGUAGUAAUACUCCUCGCGAUUGAGUCCGGUAGGUUUACCUGCCAGCAACCCCCAAUUUUUACAGGUUGACCUCGGAUCAGGUAGGGAUCCCCGCUGAACUUAAGCAUAUCAAUAAGCGGAGGA
Molecule: unclassified non-coding RNA, 329 nt
Filed under: soil metagenome
Description: partial contains 5.8S ribosomal RNA, internal transcribed spacer 2, and large subunit ribosomal RNA
Rfam family: 5.8S ribosomal RNA (bases 1-120)
Source: RNAcentral